UUCACCAAGGAGUCCUUCUUUUGUGGGUUGUAAAUUAUUUCUACUGACAGGGGAGAGAAGAAAAACAAAAGAAAAGAAAAACAAAGCAAAACAAAUGAACAAACAAACAAAAAAGAUUUAUACUUUACUAUCCUCGUGGGUGUGCAUUUUAAUAUUAUCUUGCUUUACUAGAAUUGUAAUUUUGGGGUUGAACUUGUGUGUCGUGUGAUUUAUUUGAUAGCUGACACUCCAAAACCAGUGAAACUGCCCAGUUUAUUUUUGUUGGAAUACAGUGCACUUACUUCAUUUUAUUUCUGCUGAUUUUACAUGCAACUUGAGGUGCCAAACUGUAUUUUACCUAUUGUGCUACCCUGUACCACACUACUUAGUAAGAACUUGUUUCCUCAAAGGUGUAGCUCAGUUUAGCAUUGAGUUUCUAUUAUUGCUCUCAUUGUAGCUGCGAUCAAUAGCUCUAUAGGUAAACACAACUUGUUUACAGACCUCUAAUUUAUAUCAAAGUGGCUAUCAUUUUAAAUAUCAUCAAUUAACCUAAGAAUUUUAAAACUGUACUGUGAUUUUCAGAACCUGUUACCUUUUGGUGCCGGAUCUGCGUUAUUCAAAUCCUUGCUACAUGUUUUAAAGUAGAAAAUAAAAUAAAAAAAUAAUAAAAGAUGGUAUUUUUGCUUACACAGAAGACAACCUGUAACAUAAAAUGAAUCAAACAUUAAAAUUUUACACUUGAUGUAAAAGGGUUUAUUAAAAAAAAAAAAAAAGGUUAUUUGUUCAAUUUCAAUAAAGCUAAAUGUGCUAUUAACAUUUCCUUCACUCUUUUUUUUCCUAUACAGCUGGGCUGUUCACGUCAAGACCCAGGUCUACCCCUAUGCCACUGCUCAGUCAAAAGAAAGAGGGUGAAAAGCAAACUUCUUUUGAUCUGGGGGCUCUCACUGGGUUGUACUGGUGUCUUCAUCUCAGCAAGAGGAUCCUGCAUCACCUUGAAGUCACAUUUCAUGAAUGAAAUCAAGAGAUCUGACACAGUAUGAUGUUGACAUUUCUAUGUUUAGAAAUAUAUUUCUAAAUAGAGAAAUAAAUAAUUUUAACAUGUGGACA
This 1086-nucleotide long non-coding RNA is filed under the name Anas platyrhynchos platyrhynchos (common mallard). RNAcentral describes it as "lncRNA (ENSAPLG00000018230.1)". The record is from RNAcentral. Lineage: Eukaryota; Metazoa; Chordata; Aves; Anseriformes; Anatidae.